AACCACAACAAGUUCAAAAACAGAAAUAUCAGGGGAAAAAAACAAGGGAAAGCCGACGUAAAUCAAAUGAACAAGAAGAGGUGGGAAACUGCCCACAACUACACAUAUCAUCUUCACUAAGAAGAAGAGCAGCAGGUGGUCUUUUUAGUGCUGGGAUCGGGUCCUCCAACUACAAUGGUCUUCCCAUCUUUGACACUCACAGGUGCUGCUGACUCUUCCGAAGAAAGUGUCUUCUUACUAAUAAUCCUAUAUAUCUCAGAAAGAAUUGUUUGAAAAGCCUUGUCAACAUUGGUGGCUUCAAGAGCGGAUGUCUCUACAAAAGCAAG
Molecule: long non-coding RNA, 326 nt
Filed under: Populus trichocarpa (black cottonwood)
Lineage: Eukaryota; Viridiplantae; Streptophyta; Magnoliopsida; Malpighiales; Salicaceae
Description: long non-coding RNA (PTRI_LNC000809)
Source: RNAcentral